RNAcentral lists this non-coding RNA (24 nucleotides) under Arabidopsis thaliana (thale cress). The record is from RNAcentral. Lineage: Eukaryota; Viridiplantae; Streptophyta; Magnoliopsida; Brassicales; Brassicaceae.
GUAUGACGUUUAGGAUGCUGCCAU